GACGAACGCUGGCGGCGUGCUUAACACAUGCAAGUCGAACGGAAAGGCCCUGCUUUUGUGGGGUGCUCGAGUGGCGAACGGGUGAGUAACACGUGAGUAACCUGCCCUUGACUUUGGGAUAACUUCAGGAAACUGGGGCUAAUACCGGAUAGGAGCUCCUGCUGCAUGGUGGGGGUUGGAAAGUUUCGGCGGUUGGGGAUGGACUCGCGGCUUAUCAGCUUGUUUGUGGGGUAGUGGCUUACCAAGGCUUUGACGGGUAGCCGGCCUGAGAGGGUGACCGGCCACAUUGGGACUGAGAUACGGCCCAGACUCCUACGGGAGGCAGCAGUGGGGAAUAUUGCACAAUGGGCGGAAGCCUGAUGCAGCAACGCCGCGUGCGGGAUGACGGCCUUCGGGUUGUAAACCGCUUUCGCCUGUGACGAAGCGUGAGUGACGGGAAUGGGUAAAGAAGCACCGGCUAACUACGUG
Molecule: ribosomal RNA, 468 nt
Filed under: uncultured bacterium
Lineage: Bacteria
Description: partial 16S ribosomal RNA
Rfam family: Bacterial small subunit ribosomal RNA
Source: RNAcentral